Molecule: long non-coding RNA, 344 nt
Filed under: Prunus persica (peach)
Lineage: Eukaryota; Viridiplantae; Streptophyta; Magnoliopsida; Rosales; Rosaceae
Description: long non-coding RNA (PPER_LNC002215)
Source: RNAcentral
UAACCGUAAAUAUUUUGAAGUCGGUUUUUUUUAAAACCCAGAUGGUUUCCUCUCUCUCUCUCUCUCUCUCUCUCUCUCUCUCUCCCCCUCAUGUAGCCUCUCUCUCUCUCACAACCAAAACAGCCACCGAUCUUUGGCCGGCGGGAUCUCCUCCGUCUGGCCACCUUUGGCCAUGAGACCACUUGCGUUAGAACCGUCUCUACAAGACCACUUGCGUUAGAACCGUCUCGACCUCCUCUACCCGUUCCUCCCCUUCUCUGAUGAGCCCAACCACUCCUUCACCGGCGGUAGCUCGAUAAAGUUCCGAUUUUGUCAAAACUUUUUGUCGUCGUUUCUGAUGAUUC